Molecule: ribosomal RNA, 301 nt
Filed under: uncultured bacterium
Lineage: Bacteria
Description: partial 16S ribosomal RNA
Rfam family: Bacterial small subunit ribosomal RNA
Source: RNAcentral
CAGCCGCCACGGUAAUACGAAGGGGGCUAGCGUUGUUCGGAUUUACUGGGCGUAAAGGGCGCGUAGGCGGGCUGAUAAGUCAGGGGUGAAAUCCCAAGGCUCAACCUUGGAACUGCCUUUGAUACUGUUUGUCUUGAGUUCGAGAGAGGUAAGUGGAACUGCGAGUGUAGAGGUGAAAUUCGUAGAUAUUCGCAAGAACACCAGUGGCGAAGGCGGCUUACUGGCUCGAAACUGACGCUGAGGCGCGAAAGCGUGGGGAGCAAACAGGAUUAGAGACCCGUGUAGUCCCUGUCUCUUAUAC